GCCAGCAGCCGCGGUAAUACGAGUGGUCCAAGCGUUAUCCGGAAUUAUUGGGCGUAAAGCGUGCGUAGGUGGAUUUGUUAGUCGAUAGUUUAACCCACGGGCUCAACCUGUGGAUCGCUAUUGAAACGUCAAAUCUUGAGGAUGUGAGAGGUGAGUGGAACUAAUAGUGUAGGGGUGAAAUCCGUUGAUAUUAUUGGGAACACCAAAAGCGAAGGCAGCUCACUAGCACAAUCCUGACACUGAGGCACGAAAGCGUGGGUAGCGAAUGGGAUUAGAUACCCCAGUAGUCCACGCCCUAAACGAUGCAGACUCGCUAUUUUGAGUAUCGACCCUCAAAGUGGCUAAGCUAACGCGGUAAGUCUGCCGCCUGGGAAGUACGAUCGCAAGAUUAAAACUCAAAGGAAUAGACGGGGAGACGCACAAGCAGUGGAUUAUGUGGUUUAAUUCGAUGAUAAACGAAAAACCUCACCAAGAUUUGAAACUAAGACGUAAGGCCUAGAAACAGGUCCCCCGCAAGGCGGCUUAGCAGUGAUGCAUGGUCGUCGUCAGCUCGUGUCGUG
This 560-nucleotide ribosomal RNA is filed under the name uncultured Parcubacteria group bacterium. RNAcentral describes it as "bacterial SSU rRNA". It matches the Rfam family "Bacterial small subunit ribosomal RNA", at positions 507 to 1069 of the family's 1533-position model. The record is from RNAcentral.